GUUAGUUUAUCUCCCUUGUUUACAUCUACAUCUUUUCUGUUAGUUUAUCUCCCUUGUUUACAUCUACAAGGGAGAUAAACUAACAGAAAAGAUGUAGAUGUAAACAAGGGAGAUAAACUAACAGAAAAGAUGUAGAUGUAAACAAGUGAGAUAAACUAAC
RNAcentral lists this small RNA (160 nucleotides) under Mytilus galloprovincialis (Mediterranean mussel). The record is from RNAcentral. Lineage: Eukaryota; Metazoa; Mollusca; Bivalvia; Mytilida; Mytilidae.